This 400-nucleotide ribosomal RNA is filed under the name uncultured bacterium. RNAcentral's name for it is "bacterial SSU rRNA". It matches the Rfam family "Bacterial small subunit ribosomal RNA", at positions 355 to 770 of the family's 1533-position model. The record is from RNAcentral.
UCGCGAAUAUUCGUCAAUGCCCUAACGGGUGAACGAGCGACGCCGCGUGAUAGAUGAAGCCCUUCGGGGUGUAAAUAUCUUUUCUUCGGGAAGAACACAUGACGGUACCGAAGGAAUAAGCCUUGGCUAACCUCGUGCCAGCAGCCGCGGUAAUUCGAGGAAGGCAAGCGUUAUCCGGAAUCAUUGGGCGUAAAGCGUGCGCAAGCGGUUUUGUAAGUGAGAUGUUAAAUUCCAACGCUCAACGUUGGACUCGCGUUUCAUACUGCAAGACUUGAGACUAGUAGAGGCAAAUGGAAUUCCCGGUGUAGUAGUGAAAUGCGUUAAUAUCGGGAGGAACGCCUAAAGCGAAAGCAAUUUGCUGGGCUAGUUCUGACGCCGUUGCACGACAGCGUGGGGAGCA